Molecule: ribosomal RNA, 1449 nt
Filed under: Staphylococcus aureus
Lineage: Bacteria; Bacillati; Bacillota; Bacilli; Caryophanales; Staphylococcaceae
Description: partial 16S ribosomal RNA
Rfam family: Bacterial small subunit ribosomal RNA
Source: RNAcentral
GCCUAAUACAUGCAAGUCGAGCGAACGGACGAGAAGCUUGCUUCUCUGAUGUUAGCGGCGGACGGGUGAGUAACACGUGGAUAACCUACCUAUAAGACUGGGAUAACUUCGGGAAACCGGAGCUAAUACCGGAUAAUAUUUUGAACCGCAUGGUUCAAAAGUGAAAGACGGUCUUGCUGUCACUUAUAGAUGGAUCCGCGCUGCAUUAGCUAGUUGGUAAGGUAACGGCUUACCAAGGCAACGAUGCAUAGCCGACCUGAGAGGGUGAUCGGCCACACUGGAACUGAGACACGGUCCAGACUCCUACGGGAGGCAGCAGUAGGGAAUCUUCCGCAAUGGGCGAAAGCCUGACGGAGCAACGCCGCGUGAGUGAUGAAGGUCUUCGGAUCGUAAAACUCUGUUAUUAGGGAAGAACAUAUGUGUAAGUAACUGUGCACAUCUUGACGGUACCUAAUCAGAAAGCCACGGCUAACUACGUGCCAGCAGCCGCGGUAAUACGUAGGUGGCAAGCGUUAUCCGGAAUUAUUGGGCGUAAAGCGCGCGUAGGCGGUUUUUUAAGUCUGAUGUGAAAGCCCACGGCUCAACCGUGGAGGGUCAUUGGAAACUGGAAAACUUGAGUGCAGAAGAGGAAAGUGGAAUUCCAUGUGUAGCGGUGAAAUGCGCAGAGAUAUGGAGGAACACCAGUGGCGAAGGCGACUUUCUGGUCUGUAACUGACGCUGAUGUGCGAAAGCGUGGGGAUCAAACAGGAUUAGAUACCCUGGUAGUCCACGCCGUAAACGAUGAGUGCUAAGUGUUAGGGGGUUUCCGCCCCUUAGUGCUGCAGCUAACGCAUUAAGCACUCCGCCUGGGGAGUACGACCGCAAGGUUGAAACUCAAAGGAAUUGACGGGGACCCGCACAAGCGGUGGAGCAUGUGGUUUAAUUCGAAGCAACGCGAAGAACCUUACCAAAUCUUGACAUCCUUUGACAACUCUAGAGAUAGAGCCUUCCCCUUCGGGGGACAAAGUGACAGGUGGUGCAUGGUUGUCGUCAGCUCGUGUCGUGAGAUGUUGGGUUAAGUCCCGCAACGAGCGCAACCCUUAAGCUUAGUUGCCAUCAUUAAGUUGGGCACUCUAAGUUGACUGCCGGUGACAAACCGGAGGAAGGUGGGGAUGACGUCAAAUCAUCAUGCCCCUUAUGAUUUGGGCUACACACGUGCUACAAUGGACAAUACAAAGGGCAGCGAAACCGCGAGGUCAAGCAAAUCCCAUAAAGUUGUUCUCAGUUCGGAUUGUAGUCUGCAACUCGACUACAUGAAGCUGGAAUCGCUAGUAAUCGUAGAUCAGCAUGCUACGGUGAAUACGUUCCCGGGUCUUGUACACACCGCCCGUCACACCACGAGAGUUUGUAACACCCGAAGCCGGUGGAGUAACCUUUUAGGAGCUAGCCGUCGAAGGUGGACAAAAGGGU